Molecule: long non-coding RNA, 359 nt
Organism: Folsomia candida
Lineage: Eukaryota; Metazoa; Arthropoda; Collembola; Entomobryomorpha; Isotomidae
Exons: 3
Source: RefSeq, a predicted model, not a curated record
UUCAUAAAUUCAUAAACGAUAAUGCUGGAAAUUGGGAUCGGUCAACUGGCGCAUUGUUGGCCCUGCUUUAUUUAAUCCCCCCGACAGCGCAUGGGCGAGGGAAAGGUGCGCGGUGCAAAAUUGAAGAUGCGGAAUCUAGACUUGUAAAAUAUUUUAAAAGUGGAACGCCAUUGCAGUCAAUUUUAGAUACUUGGGAUUCGGAUAUCAGUCAACCCACUUUGGUGUACUUGGGCGACGAUAAAACAAAUCCGUCGACAUUUUUCAUCAUUUGUGACAAGUUGGCCCUUCCGCUGAAUGCCAGUAAUUCUACAGAGGCCAUCGACUCUCUUUUUAAGGCUCAUUAUGUGAUCGGGACAAAA